Small nuclear RNA from Choloepus didactylus (southern two-toed sloth), 103 nucleotides. The record is from RefSeq and is a predicted model, not a curated record. Lineage: Eukaryota; Metazoa; Chordata; Mammalia; Pilosa; Megalonychidae.
GAAUGUUUAAAAUGACCCUAUUUUCAUUGGGAUGAUAUAGAGAAGAUUAGGAUAGCACCUGUUCAAGGAUAUCAUGCAAAUUUGUGACAUGUUCUAUAUUUUU